UGACAGGGUUUCUGCUGUGAAUAGCAGAUGGAUGAGGCACUUGCGCGUUAUCCGUGCAGAAUCGAUAUCAAGAGAUUUCGGAAGCACAAUUUUUGUUUUUUGGAGCUGCUGGUGAUCGUUUGUCUAAGCACUCCG
Molecule: small nuclear RNA, 135 nt
Organism: Carcharodon carcharias (great white shark)
Lineage: Eukaryota; Metazoa; Chordata; Chondrichthyes; Lamniformes; Lamnidae
Product: U11 spliceosomal RNA
Exons: 1
Source: RefSeq, a predicted model, not a curated record